UUCCCUGGAAGGAUAUAAAAACAACAACAUUAAAAGAGCAGAAGGGAGGGGCAGAAAGGCAGAGCAAGGAAGGAAGCGUACGAUGUCAACUUUCCCCCUGCAGGCUUCCAAUCCUGAGGUAGGCCGGGCUGGCAGAAAGGAGCAAUUCCAACUUUGAAUCAGUGUAGAGUUUUAUUAGUUUGGUAUUACUCUGGAAACGAGAGACAUGCUACUAAAUACAACUCAUUCAGUAACGUGGACACACUCUGGGUAAUACCUUAGCUAGUGUAGGUGGAGGGUGGAGCUGCCAGCAAAGGGGCACAUGCAACACGUAGUUGUUGAUGCUUAGUGUUACGGGUUGAACUGUGUCCCCCUCAAAUUCAUAUGCUGAAGUCCUAACCUUAGGAGAGGACCUUAUUUGGAGAGAGGGUCUUUACCAGGCAAUCAAGUUAAAAAGAUGCCAUUAGAAUGGUCUUUAUAAAUGGGGAAGUGGCGGUUAGGAAACUGGUGCCCUUAUAAAAUGGGGAAAUCUUCACACAGGAAGAACACCAUGUGAUGAUGAAGGCAGAGAUCAGGGGAUGCUUCCUUAAGCCAAGGACCACCAAAGAUGCCCAGCACACCACCAGAACUAGGCAAGGGGCACAGAAGAGAUUCACUCACGGCCCUCGGGGAAGGCCACCCUGCUGACAGUCCAGCUCCAGCCUGCGAGACAAUGCAUUUCUGUGGUUUAAGCCACCUGGCUUGUGGCCUUGGCUGUGGCAGCCCUAGGAAACCAACACGCUCAGGUUCAGUGUUUCAUUUCUUACAAAUGUGUCUCUUGGCAGCUGUAUUCCCUAGUGGCUGUGCUGAGCUGGCUCCCAUUACAGAUCUUUGAAACGAAUCACUGUGAGUUGAAGUAAGCCAGCCAAUACUUGCCAAAUCGUUCCCAAAACGUGGUUAGGUAAAACUUGAAGUCACCUAUAGGUUUCAGUUAGACAAUUUCUCAAUCUUAACCCCUGGUUUCAACUAACCAUCACAGGAAAACGAAAGGGCUGUAAUAAAGUAUCUGUGCACCAUCCUUCCCCAUCGUGCAGGAUUCAGGAGGAAAAGAGGAACAAGAUAAAGAAUGUACGCCCGGAUCUGAGUGAUGUUUCGUCGCUGCUGUGAAAAUACUCCAAACAGUCCAAUCAGCUCUCCACUUCUGUUUUGUGAGCGACACUACAGUUCCCUACAGAAAGCUGGAGAGUAGGCAUGGUCAGAUCUCCUAUUUCUAUGGUUGUCAUCACUGGAAUAACACCUUAUCUGAAUAACAUCAGAUUGAAGAGGAUGCUAUUGGGGAUAUUUUCAAUUCAUGGAUGUAAAUAUCCAAAAAGAAAAAAGUGAUGCCCCAGGACUUUAUUAACACCAGCCGGGCACCUCCUUCUUCUUACGGCAAGGCCCAGGGCACUCUGUAGCAGCCUGUUGUUUUUCCUAGUGCCAAGUAAAAGUACUCAUCCUUUCAAAA
Molecule: long non-coding RNA, 1462 nt
Organism: Myotis myotis
Lineage: Eukaryota; Metazoa; Chordata; Mammalia; Chiroptera; Vespertilionidae
Exons: 2
Source: RefSeq, a predicted model, not a curated record